AUUUUGGCCACAGCGCCGGCGGAGGAGGUAAAAGCACCUUCCCUCCUGCUUAAAGGUAAUCCCCCUCGCUGCCACUGGUUUGGCCGAAUGCUGGACCUUCAGAACUGGUUUGGUGGUCUGUAAAAGGACCACUGAAAUGGUCCGUUCACACCUCUAGAAUAAAUUAUGAAAUUUUGACUGCAGAAUUUUGGUUGUAUAGCAGUUGGUUGUAAUAAUAUUAAUUAGGGUUUAGUUUUAGGUUUAGUUUUAGGUUUAGUUUAGUUUAGUUAGCACAGAUGAGACACGGUCUUGUCUACAGGACUCCAUGCCUUUUUUAGCUCUAAUGGGACAUAUUUGAUCAAAAGAGCUGGUUUCAAUUACUGUCAUUUUAUCUUUGUAUAUGGACUCUGCCAGCUCACUGUCCGCUAUACGCAAGGGGGUCUUCACACAUAACUGCUUGGCUAAACUGAGGUUUAAUGGCAAUGUUUAACUUCAAGCAUUUAAUCCAGUCUUUUUGACCCACAGUGCUCUUUACUAUCGCCUUUAAGGGAAUCACGCUGCAUCUUUCAUUUGCUCUUUGGCCUGGUACUUUGGUAACAAGCAAAAGUGGAUCAGCUGCGUAAAAAUGUACAGCUUGCUAGAAAAGCGAGGUGUCAUAGGAGGAAGCCAGAAAGACCCCCUUGAGUGGGGGAUACUGUGCUGCUGUGAAGCAAGCCGCUUCCUCUGAUUCGACAGUAAUGGAUGCACAGCAGAACAAUGACAUCGCUCAGACCUGGAGAAACAAAGGGGUGAGUUAGCAACUGGGUUGGCUUCUUGAUGAGAGUGGCCACCCACCCCAUAUUAGCUCAGUAAGGGCUGGCAUGACCCAGAGGAUCAGAAGAAAAGUCCAUCAGCGGACAAUGCCAGUUCCUAGCUUGAAGGAGCAUCCUUGAUCACAGCAUUCUCAUUCCUACAUAACUUAGAGUGGUGGCUAGUAUAGGGGUGGGGGGACAGAAGAGUGGAAAGGAAGUUUGUUAAUUUUAUUUAGUACAUUUCUAUACCACCCUAGCCAAAAGGGUCCCUGGACAGUUCACAGUCUUAAAAACCAUUAAAAAAUUAACUCGAUUAAAACAAUUUAAAAACACAAAUAACCAAUAACAACAACCCGAACUUUAAAACUAUAAACUAAAAGUCUGGCUAAGCAGUUAUGUUUUUAGGUACUUCUUAAAAACAUUCAGAAAAGGGGAAGCUCGAGUCCUGGGGCAAAAGGCCUGGUUUUGAGUUGCCACCAACUGAGCCGGUGGCAACCGGACCUCAUUAAUCUUAAUUAAUCUUAAGUUGAGUAUUGAGCAUUCUUUGCUUCACUUCAAAUGCAGACGUGCAAAUACAUUUUAUAUUUUUAUUCCCCUGAGAAAAAUAGUGAUCUCCCUUUCAGGAUUAUGAUGAGCACAGACUCAAAAAGGGCGACAAAGCACUUCAUGGAUAUUUGAGUGUUGCCCCGUUUUCUUAAAAUAAUCUCCCUGUACAUGGAAAAUUGUAAGCAGAAAUGGUUAGACUAGAAUUCUUCAGAACUGCUGGCAUUGCAUGGGGAGGGAGUGUUUGAGAUGGGGCAGCAUUCAACCAUGGGGUUCACCUCCCACAUUCCUAAGUGGUACACCCCAAGGAGGUCUUUCACAUGCUUUCGGAAUGUGCAAAGUGGCCCUCAGAAGAACAAGAGGCAUGUCCUACCAGUACAGAAGGAUAAAUCUUCACAUCUCUGUGAAACAGAAUUGUGGGGAAUAAAGUUCUUGAUCUGCAUUUUUUUUAAAAAAGGGAAUAACUGUAUUUGGAACUUAAAAAAAAAAAAAGAAUUGUAUCUUGUCCCAGAAUACAUGGGUGUUUCAGUACAAGAACUAGCGAUGCAAAAAAGACACACAGUUUGGGUCACUGGUCAUUUUUAGGGACCUAUCGUCUUCUGAUUGAACUGAGUAUUCAUUGCGUGGUGUGUGUUUACCAAAAUAACAGGUGGGUAUAAAUAGCUUCAGCAAGGAAGUGAGAAUUAAAAGUCUGUUUUUUGUUUUGUUUACUGGUCUUGUUUUGUACAUAGCUUUUAAUAAACACUUUUCAGAUGUGA
Long non-coding RNA from Hemicordylus capensis (graceful crag lizard), 2071 nucleotides. RefSeq lists it as uncharacterized. The transcript has 2 exons. Lineage: Eukaryota; Metazoa; Chordata; Lepidosauria; Squamata; Cordylidae. The record is from RefSeq and is a predicted model, not a curated record.